UGUUGAUGAUGUUGUCCUCAGAAGCGC
RNAcentral lists this non-coding RNA (27 nucleotides) under Mus musculus (house mouse). RNAcentral also lists the same sequence under 1 other name. The record is from RNAcentral. Lineage: Eukaryota; Metazoa; Chordata; Mammalia; Rodentia; Muridae.